This 253-nucleotide ribosomal RNA is filed under the name uncultured prokaryote. RNAcentral's name for it is "partial 16S ribosomal RNA". It matches the Rfam family "Bacterial small subunit ribosomal RNA", at positions 525 to 777 of the family's 1533-position model. The record is from RNAcentral.
ACGGAGGGUGCAAGCGUUAUCCGGAUUUACUGGGUUUAAAGGGUGCGUAGGUGGGCCUGUAAGUCAGUGGUGAAAUCUUCGAGCUUAACUCGGAAACUGCCAUUGAUACUAUAGGUCUUGAAUAUUCUGGAGGUGAGCGGAAUAUGUCAUGUAGCGGUGAAAUGCUUAGAUAUGACAUAGAACACCGAUUGCGAAGGCAGCUUACUACACAAUGAUUGACGCUGAGGCACGAGAGCGUGGGGAUCAAACAGGA